Molecule: ribosomal RNA, 387 nt
Filed under: uncultured bacterium
Lineage: Bacteria
Description: bacterial SSU rRNA
Rfam family: Bacterial small subunit ribosomal RNA
Source: RNAcentral
AACGAACGCUGGCGGCAUGCCUAACACAUGCAAGUCGAACGCUCGUAGCAAUACGGGAGUGGCAGACGGGUGCGUAACGCGUGGGAACCUGCCCAGAGGUUCGGAAUAACUGCGGGAAACUGCAGCUAAUACCGAAUGUUGCCUGAGGGCUAAAGGAGUAAUUCGCCUUUGGAGGGCCCGCGUCCGAUUAGCUAGUUGGUGGGGUAAUGGCCUACCAAGGCGACGAUCGGUAGCUGGUCUGAGAGGAUGACCAGCCACACUGGAACUGAGACACGGUCCAGACUCCUACGGGAGGCAGCAGUGGGGAAUAUUGGACAAUGGGGGAAACCCUGAUCCAGCAAUGCCGCGUGGGUGAUGAAGGCCUCGGUUGUAAGCCUUUUGGCGGGG